RNAcentral lists this ribosomal RNA (240 nucleotides) under uncultured bacterium. RNAcentral describes it as "partial 16S ribosomal RNA". It matches the Rfam family "Bacterial small subunit ribosomal RNA", at positions 92 to 334 of the family's 1533-position model. The record is from RNAcentral.
CGACCGGCGCACGGGUGCGUAACGCGUAUGCAACCUACCUUUAACAGGGGAUAACACUGAGAAAUUGGUACUAAUACCCCAUAAUAUCAUAGAAGGCAUCUUUUAUGGUUGAAAAUUCCGAUGGUUAGAGAUGGGCAUGCGUUGUAUUAGCUAGUUGGUGGGGUAACGGCUCACCAAGGCGACGAUACAUAGGGGGACUGAGAGGUUAACCCCCCACACUGGUACUGAGGCACGGACCAG